CCUACGGGAGGCUGCAGUAGGGAAUAUUGGUCAAUGGGCGCAAGCCUGAACCAGCCAUGCCGCGUGCAGGAAGACGGCCCUCUGGGUUGUAAACUGCUUUUGAUAGGGAACAAAUGCCACUUGCGAGUGGAGCUGAGUGUACCUAUAGAAUAAGCACCGGCUAACUCCGUGCCAGCAGCCGCGGUAAUACGGAGGGUGCAAGCGUUGUCCGGAUUUAUUGGGUUUAAAGGGUGCGUAGGCGGCCUAAUAAGUCAGUGGUGAAAGCCUCCAGCUUAACUGGAGAACUGCCAUUGAUACUGUUAGGCUUGAGUAUACUUGAGGUAGGCGGAAUUGACAGUGCAGCGGUGAAAUGCAUAGAUAUUGUCAAGAACACCAAUUGCGAAGGCAGCUUACUAAAUUAUAACUGACGCUGAGGCACGAAAGUGUGGGUAUCAAACAGG
Molecule: ribosomal RNA, 440 nt
Filed under: uncultured bacterium
Lineage: Bacteria
Description: bacterial SSU rRNA
Rfam family: Bacterial small subunit ribosomal RNA
Source: RNAcentral